RNAcentral lists this unclassified non-coding RNA (242 nucleotides) under plant metagenome. RNAcentral's name for it is "partial contains small subunit ribosomal RNA, internal transcribed spacer 1, and 5.8S ribosomal RNA". The record is from RNAcentral.
UUUCCGUAGGUGAACCUGCGGAAGGAUCAUUAAUGAAAUAACCUGGGUUUAUAUGUCGCAUACUUGCAUACAUUCACACACCUUUCUGCUCUGCUGGAGUGACCGUUUGAUUUGUUUUAUUAGGAUAGACUUAUUUUUUGAUAAAAAUUUUUAAUAGUCAAGAUAGUAUAAUGCAAUGCUCUGGUAUCUCUAAGAUAAACUAAUAAAAAACAAAACUUUUAACAACGGAUCUCUUGGCUCUC